Molecule: ribosomal RNA, 450 nt
Filed under: Leucochlaena oditis
Lineage: Eukaryota; Metazoa; Arthropoda; Insecta; Lepidoptera; Noctuidae
Description: partial 16S large subunit ribosomal RNA
Source: RNAcentral
UAAUCUGCCCACUGAUUUAAUAUUGAAGGGCUGCAGUAUAUUGACUGUACAAAGGUAGCAUAAUCAUUAGUCAUUUAAUUGAUGACUUGUAUGAAAGAUUGGAUGAAAUAUAAACUGUCUCUUAAUUAAAUAUAGAAAUUAAUUUUUUAAUUAAAAAGUUAAAAUAAAUUAAAAAGACGAGAAGACCCUAUAGAGUUUUAUAAUUAAUUUAAUUAAGAUUAUUUAAAUAAAAAAAAGUUAAAAUUAAUUUAAUUAUUUUGUUGGGGUGACAAAAAAAUAUAAAAAACUUUUUUUAAAUUAAAACAUUUAUAAGUGGUUAAAUGAUCCAAUAUUAUUGAUUAUAAGAAAAAAUUACCUUAGGGAUAACAGCGUAAUUUUUUUUUUUAGUUCAAAUAAGAAAAAGAGUUUGCGACCUCGAUGUUGGAUUAAGAUAAAAUUUAAAUGCAGAAG